Lampris incognitus (smalleye Pacific opah) is the source of this 300-nucleotide long non-coding RNA. RefSeq lists it as uncharacterized. The transcript is spliced from 3 exons. The record is from RefSeq and is a predicted model, not a curated record. NCBI's taxonomy places the organism in Eukaryota, Metazoa, Chordata, Actinopteri, Lampriformes, Lampridae.
AGAGCAUCAGGGGACUUACAGCUGCACUGCUCGUAAUGCUGUUACCGGCCUAGAGGUCUCUUGGAUCCACACACUGAAAGGGUCGGCUGCACCCCUCGGUGGGGUUCUGUCCUUGAUGAUGAUCACUGCCAUAACCCUAGUGGGAUUCAGGCUUGUGUAAAAGGGGCCCCUCUCUGAACACAGCCAAUUCUCAGGAGGUUGAUGGGACGUGUUCCUGAGUUCACAAGACUCUCUACUGCUAGCUAGCUAGCUAGCUAGCUUGCAUGAUGUUACUAGACAAGCAUUUGAAAACAAACCAAC